UAGCCGUAGGUGAACCUGCGGCUGGAUCAUUAUCGAGCAAAAUGAUAAAUUUUUAUGGAUGACAUGCUAGGAGCGGUCCGUUCGUAUGACGGAUGCGGCUCGUCAUCAGUGAACCAACGGCUUUCGGUUGGCGUCUAACACAGUUCUCGAGCAGUUGUGCCUAAGUCCGUGGCUGUGAUGAAAGAACUGAGGUACGCAUACGUCCUGCUAGUUUAGGGUAGCGGAUGCGAAGACUUAAUGAGCUCUAUGCCUAGGAGCUACCAACUACUCAUUCAUUUUUCUAACGAUUUUUCUAACGAAAAAGACUAACGUAUCAGUCUUACCGGUGGAUCACUCGGCUCAU
Molecule: unclassified non-coding RNA, 343 nt
Filed under: soil metagenome
Description: partial contains small subunit ribosomal RNA, internal transcribed spacer 1, and 5.8S ribosomal RNA
Source: RNAcentral